Molecule: ribosomal RNA, 118 nt
Filed under: Lepisosteus oculatus (spotted gar)
Lineage: Eukaryota; Metazoa; Chordata; Actinopteri; Semionotiformes; Lepisosteidae
Source: RNAcentral
GCCAGCAGCUGUAUCUCCCUGUAACUCACAACUGGCAGCCCACUGAAGCUCAGCAGGUGUGAGCCUGGUCAAUACCUGGAUGGGAGACCUCCUGGGAAAGCUAAGGAUGCUGCUGGAA